Molecule: ribosomal RNA, 445 nt
Filed under: uncultured bacterium
Lineage: Bacteria
Description: bacterial SSU rRNA
Rfam family: Bacterial small subunit ribosomal RNA
Source: RNAcentral
ACCAGACUCCUACGGGAGGCAGCAGUGGGGAAUAUUGCACAAUGGGGGAAACCCUGAUGCAGCGACGCCGCGUGAGUGAAGAAGUAUUUCGGUAUGUAAAGCUCUAUCAGCAGGGAAGAAAAUGACGGUACCUGACUAAGAAGCCCCGGCUAACUACGUGCCAGCAGCCGCGGUAAUACGUAGGGGGCAAGCGUUAUCCGGAUUUACUGGGUGUAAAGGGAGCGUAGACGGCAUGGCAAGUCAGAUGUGAAAGCCCGGGGCUCAACCCCGGGACUGCAUUUGAAACUGUCAGGCUGGAGUGCAGGAGAGGUAAGUGGAAUUCCUAGUGUAGCGGUGAAAUGCGCAGAUAUUAGGAGGAACACCAGUGGCGAAGGCGGCUUACUGGACUGUAACUGACGUUGAGGCUCGAAAGCGUGGGGAGCAAACAGGAUUAGAUACCCGUGUA